CGACCCUCGUGCUCGAGAGGCGGAUCCAAAGGCAGUCGCUUACCUAGGAGCAUACUUCGGUGUAGCAUAUAUAGCGGCAUAGCCCUUUGACCUAGGAAUCCUAGAAAAUAUAUCUAUUGAAACCCACCAUAAGUAUCUGGGGAGACAGCAGCGGAUACAGAUUUACCAUAAGCAAAAGCGGCUACUGAGGCGAAGGCAAAUAAGGUUCCGUUCCAUGGAAGGAAAAAUAAAUGGAAAUCCAAAUCAGAAAAGGUCUGAUCAAAUCUUUUGCUUUCUUCUUGUCUUGAAUUGUUAUAGAACGGCUUUAUAUAAGGUAUAGUUGGUAGGAUGAAGUGGGAUGAAGCCUUAGUGGAUAUAGCAAGUGUGCCGGGGAUGCGGCUCGGGCGUAGUAGGUCUGGACGCCUAGCAUGAAACAGCCUUCUCUGGUAGCGGCACUAUACCUUAGUAUAGUCUCUCUCUAGCUUCCAGUCUAUAUAAAAGUAGUUAGCAGAGGUCAGAAGGUUCUGUCUGGCGUUACCUCGCGUAAAGGGCUACUUUGGCAUCGGCUCUCUCUCGUUAGGUAAUUACCGAGGCGAAAGCAGCUCUCUCGGAAGUAAGUUUCCCCGCCAUCUUAGUGGGACUAGUCUAAUCAACUUUAACUUCAACUGCCUUACUAUAAAAAGUAAGCAAGUAAACUACCAAGACUCGGAUUUUUUUUUGUUGUGGUAACGCCCUUCUAGAAUUACGUUUAACGUCCCUUUAUUUUAUUACUUUCCCGAUCAGCGCCUCGGGUCGGUAGCCGGGCUCCGGGACAUUACUACCACGGCUACUAUCGACCCGAGCCCAAAGAAGGAAAAGAACGGACUAAAGCGAGGAGUUCAUUGGCCAUACAUAGUGAAGGGGGAUGGGGGUCAACCUCUUUCAUGACCCAUGGCCCCAGUGUGUAACUUGGUUAGCAUUUCUAGAACAAAUUAAGUAGGGUUGGUUUUUCGAUAGGGAAAAAGGGGAGUUAGUUGGCUGUAGUUGAGACACGUUUUUCGGGUGGACGAUAUGGAUUUUUUCGAGAUGGUUAACCACUUUUUUAACCGUCAGAGGGAGGUCAUUCAGAACCCGCUGGCUCCAGUCCAGAAUCGGAAGAGGAAUCGGAAGAGGAAGAGGAAUCGGAAGAGGAACCGGUGGAAGUUCCCCACGCCGAUCCCCAACGUGAGGCACUUCGAAGUGCCAUUCACACUUUGAUUCUUGAGCAAGUUCGGGAAUCUUGUGAGAAGGGGAAAGGGCGGCUUUCCGUUCACUUUCCGGAAAUGGAAGAAAUCUAUUCCAGUGUCGCAGAGAACAUUCUUUCUCGCGAUCUGGAAAUAUCUGCGGAGAUUGAUACUGAAACCCUCCGCGGAUGGGUGGAGGAGAUAAAGGAGAACCCUAAUCCCCUAAAAUCCCUCAUUAGGGAACACCUGUAAGAUUAGUCUGCCGCUUUCUUUCAUAACAGAGCCGGGAAUAACGGCUGGCAUAGAAGUCUCUCGCACGCAAGGAGAUGCAUUUCUGGUACGGGUAGUACUGGACAAGCUCUCAGGG
RNAcentral lists this small RNA (1548 nucleotides) under Lupinus albus (white lupine). RNAcentral describes it as "hypothetical ncRNA". Lineage: Eukaryota; Viridiplantae; Streptophyta; Magnoliopsida; Fabales; Fabaceae. The record is from RNAcentral.